RNAcentral lists this ribosomal RNA (445 nucleotides) under uncultured bacterium. RNAcentral's name for it is "bacterial SSU rRNA". It matches the Rfam family "Bacterial small subunit ribosomal RNA", at positions 331 to 793 of the family's 1533-position model. The record is from RNAcentral.
CCAGACUCCUACGGGAGGCAGCAGUGGGGGAUAUUGCACAAUGGGGGAAACCCUGAUGCAGCGACGCCGCGUGUGGGAAGACGGCCCUCUGGAUUGUAAACCACUGUCCCCAGGGACGAAGAUGACGGUACCUGGGGAGGAAGCUCCGGCUAACUACGUGCCAGCAGCCGCGGUAAUACGUAGGGAGCAAGCGUUGUCCGGAAUUACUGGGUGUAAAGGGAGCGUAGGCGGGGAUGCAAGUUGGAUGUUUAAACUAUCGGCUCAACCGGUAAUUGCAACCAAAACUGCAACUCUUGAGUGAAGUAGAGGCAGGCGGAAUUCCUAGUGCAGCGGUGAAAUGCGUAGAUAUUAGGAGGAACACCAGUGGCGAAGGCGGCCUGCUGGGCUUUAACUGACGCUGAGGCUCGAAAGCGUGGGGAGCAAACAGGAUUAGAUACCCUGGUAC